CUGCGUCAGCAGCCACGUCCCCCACAGCACGAGGGCUCGAUGCCCCCGGUCGAGCGGCAGACAGGGUCUCUCUUGCCAGCCCGCCGCCAGCAGGCCUACUAUCGCCAGUGGCAAGAGCCACCCUAUCUGUCCGGCCAGAUGCUCGUUAAAGAGCCUGAAGGGGCCACGCUCGCCGUUCUCGCCGACACCGCCCGGGCCGUAUCGUCCGCCCCACAGGGCAUCUUCUUGGAGGCU
This 234-nucleotide unclassified non-coding RNA is filed under the name plant metagenome. RNAcentral's name for it is "partial contains 5.8S ribosomal RNA, internal transcribed spacer 2, and large subunit ribosomal RNA". The record is from RNAcentral.